GUGCUUGCUUUGGCAGCAUGUAUACAAAACUUGGAAUGAUACAGAGAACAUUAGCAUGGCCCCUGCACAAGGAUGGCGAGCAAAUUCAUCAAGUGUUCAGUAUUUUU
Molecule: small nuclear RNA, 107 nt
Organism: Nycticebus coucang (slow loris)
Lineage: Eukaryota; Metazoa; Chordata; Mammalia; Primates; Lorisidae
Source: RefSeq, a predicted model, not a curated record